UACGGAGGGUGCGAGCGUUGUCCGGAAUCACUGGGCGUAAAGGGCGCGUAGGUGGCCCGUUAAGUGGCUGGUGAAAUCCCGCGGCUCAACUGCGGGGCUGCCGGUCAUACUGGCGAGCUAGAGCACUGUAGGGGCAGAUGGAAUUCCCGGUGUAGCGGUGGAAUGCGUAGAGAUCGGGAAGAAUACCAGUGGCGAAGGCGUUCUGCUGGGCCGUUGCUGACACUGAGGCGCGACAGCGUGGGGAGCAAACAGG
RNAcentral lists this ribosomal RNA (253 nucleotides) under uncultured bacterium. RNAcentral's name for it is "partial 16S ribosomal RNA". It matches the Rfam family "Bacterial small subunit ribosomal RNA", at positions 524 to 776 of the family's 1533-position model. The record is from RNAcentral.